UGGGGAAUAUUGCACAAUGGGGGAAACCCUGAUGCAGCGACGCCGCGUGAAGGAAGAAGGCCUUCGGGUCGUAAACUUCUGUCCUAGGGGAAGAAGAACUGACGGUACCCUUGGAGGAAGCCCCGGCUAACUACGUGCCAGCAGCCGCGGUAAUACGUAGGGGGCAAGCGUUAUCCGGAAUUACUGGGCGUAAAGAGUGCGUAGGCGGCUUUUUAAGCGCGGGGUUUAAGCCAACGGCCCAACCGUUGUUCGCCCCGCGAACUGAAGGGCUUGAGUACAGGAGAGGAAGGCGGAAUUCCUAGUGUAGCGGUGAAAUGCGUAGAUAUUAGGAGGAACACCGGUGGCGAAGGCGGCCUUCUGGACUGAAACUGACGCUGAGGCACGAAAGCGUGGGUAGCAAACAGG
Molecule: ribosomal RNA, 405 nt
Filed under: uncultured prokaryote
Also listed under: 1 other name
Description: bacterial SSU rRNA
Rfam family: Bacterial small subunit ribosomal RNA
Source: RNAcentral